GGAGCCAAUCCGAGUGGAGGGAAGUGGGGUUUGUUGCCAUGGCGACAGUAGCCGGGCCUAGGCCCCGGCUGGCCGUGGUGAAGCAUGGACCUGAGCCGGGGGCUGGAGAGCCUACCCGUGUCGGUGUGGCCGCCGUCCGAGGAACUCCCGGCCUUCCAGUAUAGUCCAGAGCAUGUGGCGGGAGCAGGAGAAGACACUGACCCUUCUGAAAUCACUUUUCCAGGAUGUAAUUGUCUUACUGCUUCCUGUGUGACCAACACUUGUUCGUGUCUUCGCCAUGGUGAAAACUAUAACAAUUCAUGCAUCAAAUACAUAGGAAGUGAAGUGGACUAUGCUAGGCCUAUUUUUGAAUGCAACGCCAUGUGCCGUUGUGCGAAUAAAACUCAGUUUCCUGAUUUAAUGGGGCAAAGGUUCUUCAUACAUGAGGAGGAUCUGGAAGUGAAAGGUACUGACAUCUGUCUAGAAGAAUCCUAUUGAACAUGACAAUGAAAUCCAGAGGGGAAAAAGCAACUGUACUGAAGACCAACUUAUGUACUGGUAUUACUAUUGGUAGUCUUUUUAAGGAUACCUAUACUCUGAUAUAAUCUAUAUUGGUGGCCACAAACAUUUUCAUUUAAAAUGAAACCACUGGGAUAGAUGAUUCAGCUGCCUGUCAGAAGUUCUUGAUAAUUUCUCUUUAUUCCCCCGUGGAGAGCAGAUGAUGUGCAUCAGCCAUCAAAUGAUGUUAAAGAGAUGCAGCCCCCGUCCUUAAGGGAUCCAAUACGUCAGCUUCCACAAGACAUAGGCUGAAAAUAAAUCUGCUUUUUUAAAAAGGUAACCCUAAAUACAUCAGUGAGAUUGAAACUUUGA
This is an RNA transcript of Gopherus flavomarginatus (Mexican gopher tortoise), 849 nucleotides long. It is a transcript of the gene named histone-lysine N-methyltransferase SETMAR, with no coding region annotated. NCBI's taxonomy places the organism in Eukaryota, Metazoa, Chordata, Testudines, Testudinidae. The record is from RefSeq and is a predicted model, not a curated record. The transcript is spliced from 4 exons.